UAUCAGUGAACGGGAGAGACUGACGCGAAAGUGUAACAACUUGAGCGUUGGCGCCGAAGGAGCAACCGCCCCGGAAUCUCUCAGGCAAAAGAACCGUUCAUCAGGA
Molecule: non-coding RNA, 106 nt
Filed under: Pseudolabrys sp. Root1462
Lineage: Bacteria; Pseudomonadati; Pseudomonadota; Alphaproteobacteria; Hyphomicrobiales; Xanthobacteraceae
Also listed under: 1 other name
Description: Glycine riboswitch aptamer
Rfam family: Glycine riboswitch aptamer
About the family: This family represents the bacterial glycine riboswitch. Glycine riboswitches usually consist of two metabolite-binding aptamers domains with similar structures in tandem. The aptamers cooperatively bind glycine to regulate the expression of downstream genes.
Source: Rfam by way of RNAcentral